AAUAGAUGACACCGUUGACUUUUUCUUACAUGUUUGACCAUUCGUCUUAUUUAAAAAAUUUACGUAAUUAUAAUUUAUUUUGUUAUGAGUUGUUUUAUCACUCAUAGUACUUUAUGUGUGAUUUAUAUCAUAUACAUUUGCAUAAAAUUUUUGAAUAAGACGAAUGGUCAAACAUGUGAGAAAAAGUUAACGGCGUCAUCUAUU
RNAcentral lists this microRNA precursor (204 nucleotides) under Oryza glumipatula. RNAcentral describes it as "MIR812 microRNA precursor family". It matches the Rfam family "MIR812 microRNA precursor family". Lineage: Eukaryota; Viridiplantae; Streptophyta; Magnoliopsida; Poales; Poaceae. The record is from Rfam by way of RNAcentral.